This 342-nucleotide unclassified non-coding RNA is filed under the name soil metagenome. RNAcentral describes it as "partial contains 5.8S ribosomal RNA, internal transcribed spacer 2, and large subunit ribosomal RNA". The stretch from base 1 to 120 matches the Rfam family "5.8S ribosomal RNA", at positions 35 to 154 of the family's 154-position model. The record is from RNAcentral.
GAUGAAGAACGUAGUGAAAUGCGAUAAGUAAUGUGAAUUGCAGAAUUCAGUGAAUCAUCGAAUCUUUGAACGCACAUUGCGCCCGCCAGCACUCUGGCGGGCAUGCCUGUCCGAGCGUCAUUUACCACCCUCGGGCCCCCUUGGGGGCCCGGUGCUGGGGGCACGGCCCAGGCCGCCCCCGAAAUGCAGUGGCGACCCCGCCGCGUCCUCCCCUGCGCAGUAGCACAAUCUCGCACCGGAAGCGCGGAGGCGGUCACGCCUGGAAACGCCCCAACUCAACGCAGUUGACCUCGGAUCAGGUAGGAGUACCCGCUGAACUUAAGCAUAUCAAUAAGCGGAGGA